GUAGGGAAUAUUGCACAAUGGGCGCAAGCCUGAUGCAGCAACGCCGCGUGCGCGAUGAAGGCCUUCGGGUCGUAAAGCGCUUUUCGGGGAGAUGAGGAAGGACAGUAUCCUCGGAAGAAGGAUCGGCUAACUACGUGCCAGCAGCCGCGGUAAAACGUAGGAUCCGAGCGUUAUCCGAAUUCACUGGGCGUAAAGCGCGUGCAGGCGGUUCGGUAAGUUGGAUGUGAAAUCUCCCGGCUCAACUGGGAGGGGACGUUCAAUACUGUCGGACUCGAGGACGGUAGAGGGAGGUGGAAUUCCCGGUGUAGUGGUGAAAUGCGUAGAUAUCGGGAGGAACACCAGUGGCGAAGGCGGCCUCCUGGACCGUACCUGACGCUCAGACGCGAAAGCUAGGGGAGCGAACGGGAUUAGAAACCCGGGUAGUCC
This 426-nucleotide ribosomal RNA is filed under the name uncultured bacterium. RNAcentral's name for it is "bacterial SSU rRNA". It matches the Rfam family "Bacterial small subunit ribosomal RNA", at positions 354 to 796 of the family's 1533-position model. The record is from RNAcentral.